Molecule: ribosomal RNA, 253 nt
Filed under: uncultured Coprococcus sp.
Lineage: Bacteria; Bacillati; Bacillota; Clostridia; Lachnospirales; Lachnospiraceae
Description: partial 16S ribosomal RNA
Rfam family: Bacterial small subunit ribosomal RNA
Source: RNAcentral
UAAGGAGGAUGCGAGCGUUAUCCGGAUUUAUUGGGUUUAAAGGGUGCGCAGGCGGUCUGUUAAGUCAGCGGUCAAAGCCCGGGGCUCAACUGCGGGACUGCUUUUGGAACUAUCUAGCUAGAUUGCAGGAGAGGUAAGUGGAAUCCCUAGUGUAGCGGUGAAAUGCGUAGAUAUUAGGAGGAACACCAGUGGCGAAGGCGGCUUACUGGACUGUAAAUGACGCUGAGGCUCGAAAGCGUGGGGAGCAAACAGG